UUGAACUACAAGAAUUGUGCAGUCUUGAAGGUGGUUAAAGGUGAAGUUUCUGCUUCAGAUCUACUGGUUCAAUUGAAUGAAAUAUUCUGCAAAAACAAAGAUUGGCCGUGGCAGAUCAGAGAACUGGAGGAGAAGAAGUUUUUGCUGAGAUUCCCUCCUUGGAAGAAUGUGGAUGAUCUAAUUGAAUUUCCUGCUUUCGAUCUUCCCAUUGAUGGUGUCUCAGUGAAAAUAUGUGAGUGGAAAGGGAUGUUGGAUGAAUUUGGUGAACUAAAAGAAGCCUGGGUGCAAGUUGAGGGGAUUCCUCCCAAGUGGUGUGCUUGGAAAGUCUUUGCUCAGAUUGCAAGUUGCUUUGGCAUCCUUGUGGAUGUGGACUAGAAUGGGAUUUUUAAGAGUUUUUAUGAGAUCAUCGGAAUUAAAGUGACAUGUAGAGACCCUCGCAAGAUCCCUUUUGAGAGACUGGUGGAAAUGAAAAAGAAACUCUACCUGCUAUUUUUCACUGUAGAAGGCUUUGAA
This 513-nucleotide ribosomal RNA is filed under the name Triticum aestivum (bread wheat). RNAcentral describes it as "partial small subunit ribosomal RNA". Lineage: Eukaryota; Viridiplantae; Streptophyta; Magnoliopsida; Poales; Poaceae. The record is from RNAcentral.